Molecule: transfer RNA, 75 nt
Filed under: Anaeromyxobacter diazotrophicus
Lineage: Bacteria; Pseudomonadati; Myxococcota; Myxococcia; Myxococcales; Anaeromyxobacteraceae
Description: tRNA-Lys
Rfam family: tRNA
About the family: Transfer RNA (tRNA) molecules are approximately 80 nucleotides in length. Their secondary structure includes four short double-helical elements and three loops (D, anti-codon, and T loops). Further hydrogen bonds mediate the characteristic L-shaped molecular structure. tRNAs have two regions of fundamental functional importance: the anti-codon, which is responsible for specific mRNA codon recognition, and the 3' end, to which the tRNAs corresponding amino acid is attached (by aminoacyl-tRNA synthetases). tRNAs cope with the degeneracy of the genetic code in two manners: having more than one tRNA (with a specific anti-codon) for a particular amino acid; and 'wobble' base-pairing, i.e. permitting non-standard base-pairing at the 3rd anti-codon position.
Source: RNAcentral
GGGGCGCUAGCUCAACGGUAGAGCUGCGGCCUUUUAAGCCGUAGGCUGAGGGUUCGAGUCCCUCGCGCCCCACCA